Long non-coding RNA from Ipomoea nil (Japanese morning glory), 119 nucleotides. RefSeq lists it as uncharacterized. The record is from RefSeq and is a predicted model, not a curated record. Lineage: Eukaryota; Viridiplantae; Streptophyta; Magnoliopsida; Solanales; Convolvulaceae. The transcript has 3 exons.
UAUUUGGUUCAGAAGGAGGAAAAAUACCAGGCAAGAGCCAUUACUUCGGCCCCAGUGACCAAAAGAAAACAACCGGAGACCCACACAGUUGGUCCGAGAUCAAUUCCUUAAGUAUGCAU